Long non-coding RNA from Thalassophryne amazonica, 156 nucleotides. RefSeq lists it as uncharacterized. The record is from RefSeq and is a predicted model, not a curated record. The transcript has 3 exons. Lineage: Eukaryota; Metazoa; Chordata; Actinopteri; Batrachoidiformes; Batrachoididae.
GUGUGCAAUAAAAACUUCCUAGGCACAAAUUUAUUCAAGGCAAAUUUUGUGCCACUUGACCAAAGAAAGUUCACUAAUCUGUAUAUUACUCUGCUGACCCCAUGACAAAUAAAAUACAUUACAUUUUUUUUAAAAAUAGAAAACAGCAGGGUUCCU